This 253-nucleotide ribosomal RNA is filed under the name uncultured bacterium. RNAcentral describes it as "partial 16S ribosomal RNA". It matches the Rfam family "Bacterial small subunit ribosomal RNA", at positions 524 to 776 of the family's 1533-position model. The record is from RNAcentral.
UACGAAGGGGGCUAGCGUUGCUCGGAAUCACUGGGCGUAAAGCGCACGUAGGCGGAUUGUUAAGUCAGGGGUGAAAUCCUGGAGCUCAACUCCAGAACUGCCUUUGAUACUGAGGAUCUCGAGUCCGGGAGAGGUGAGUGGAACUCCGAGUGUAGAGGUGAAAUUCGUAGAUAUUCGGAAGAACACCAGUGGCGAAGGCGGCUCACUGGCCCGGUACUGACGCUGAUGUGCGAAAGCGUGGGGAGCAAACAGG